RNAcentral lists this ribosomal RNA (253 nucleotides) under uncultured bacterium. RNAcentral describes it as "partial 16S ribosomal RNA". It matches the Rfam family "Bacterial small subunit ribosomal RNA", at positions 524 to 776 of the family's 1533-position model. The record is from RNAcentral.
UACGAAGGGGGCUAGCGUUGCUCGGAAUCACUGGGCGUAAAGCGCACGUAGGCGGAUCGCUAAGUCAGGGGUGAAAUCCUGGAGCUCAACUCCAGAACUGCCUUUGAUACUGGCAAUCUCGAGUCCGGGAGAGGUGAGUGGAACUGCGAGUGUAGAGGUGAAAUUCGUAGAUAUUCGCAAGAACACCAGUGGCGAAGGCGGCUCACUGGCCCGGUACUGACGCUGAGGUGCGAAAGCGUGGGGAGCGAACAGG